GCCAGCCGGGAGCCGUCGCUGGGCGAGAGGCGGCGGGCAAUGCUAGGAGCCGUGGCAGGAGACGUAGGGACGGGGUGGGGGCCGCGGCGCGAAAGCACCGAGCCGGGCCAGGGGUCCUCCUUCAGGAAGUUAAAAAAAAAGCUUUCUUUUUCUCUUGCCAUCGUUUUCAUAGUAGUUCACAUAAUAACGUUCACACAUAUGUAAGUGCUGGAGCAGUUCCCGCUCCCCCACUGUAUCGUUUUGGCUUAUCAAAAUACCUCGGCACCUCUGUUCUCAUCUGUGGAUGUUGGAUGUGGAAGAGUCUCGCAAAGUUUCCCCCCGGAUAGCGUUUUACCCCUUCUGCCUAAGGAGACUUUUGCUUGGAAUGGGAUUGGGAAACAGUAAGCUUUUUUAUGUGUUUAUAGCAAGAUGAAUAAAGGGACUGGAGAGAGAGAGAAGCAGUAAACUGGGCACGUAGCCCAGUGCUGCUGACUUCUCAAAUGGUACAAUGAGACUCACAAAUAUUUCUAGCUCUCUUUGUUCGAAAGGUUGUGAAAGUAUGACAUGUGGCGAUCUUAAACGUACUCAGAAAACAAAUGAAGAAAUACUGUUAAUACAUCUCCCAAUAUGUUGUUUUUAAAAUCCCAUUACUUUUAAAUUAAUUGUGUAUUUUUUAGGUCCCCGUUUACUAUGUUUUGUGUAUUUCUCAUUGGCAAUAUCGUACUUUGGAGAUAAGCUACCUAUAGAAGCUUGAAACUCCUCUCGGAGAGACUAAUGAGUGUUUUUCUAGUUUUUCUAGUCUAGUAACUAAACUACGUGGAGUCAGUGGGCUGCCCUAGUGAGAAGGAAGUCCUGGAGUCUGCUGGAGUGCAGCGUCCUCUGCAGAUCAGAAUACACAAAGGGAUAGGAGGAAAUCAACCACCAAGGAAAAUCUGCUGUGAAAUGAAAUCGGCUUCUAAGAGUAAAGUUAACAUGCAGGAUAAAGCUAACAGCAGUUAGCUUUAACUGUUUCUAGAUUGAGGCCUCCCAUUCAGGACUCAAACUGAAACUGUGUGACAAAUUAAGUGAUUCAGGCAAGCUCAGGUGCAAGGAAAAACAAGUCAGAUGACAGACUGCUGCCCACUCACUCCAGUAAGUGCAUUCCAUCUCAGCAUGCUUCGCAAGGGAGGGCCGAGGCAGAAGAAAUCUCCACAGCUCUAGUUUGUAACGGAAAAGAAAAUGCUGGCCUUCCUUGGGUUUUCCACUCCAGAACCUCACAGCACGACUGAAUCGGCAAAACUGAAUCUAUUGCUGCAGAAGCAGAGAUGCCGUGGCCUUGAACAGAGGCAUAACUGUCUGUUUCCCGAUUGAAUUAUUUGGCCUGCAUAUAUUGUCAUACAUUUGAGUAGUUCUGUUCAUUCAGGCUUUUAAGCAGUUGCAACUGUGUACAUAAGACAGUUGAUGAGAAGAAGAGUGUGCAGCCUAUAGCCCAAGUUGCCAUAGGCAGCACACAGCAAAACUGUGGAAGGGCUUAUAGGUGGGGAGCAUCUUAAAAAAGACUUUUGUGAGAGACUCCAAGUUUCUGUGUCCUCCUCAAAUCUAAAUGUAGUGGGAGCUUGGAGCUCCCACUUUGCACAGGUCUUGCUGCUGCUGAGGGCUAUAGCAUUUUUUUGCCUCUUGGAGAAGUAGUGUGUCUCAGCUCCUGCUGAGAUCAGAAUGUGAUGGGAGCUGAAAAGCCCUACCUGGGAGCAUCUCCUCCCUUGCAGCAGCAACUGCACAGCUGUUGCUGUGUUUCUAGUGGCAAAUUGAACCUCUAGUUUGUGAAAGACUACUGUUCCCCGCAUUAGUACACUUUGUGGGUCUAUACUAGACUUUGCAUUUCUAUUUUUAUCCAUAUGUCAGGGGAAGAAUGUCUGCAUCUCUCUACAGGAAACCUGAAAGACUUAUAAAUGCAAUUAGCAACAAAGAAUGGAGCUCACUCUUGAUACUCUGAAGGAGGAUUUCACAGUAACCCCAUGUGGGUGGAACUUUCCUACCUGCCUCCAUACUCUCAGUAUUUGCAGACAUGCAAUUACUCCGUAUGUCUAACAAAAAGAAGAGAGUUUCCCAACUACAAAUUUGAUGCUUCAUUACAAAAUGGAGCAUGACAGCUGUUACCACUAUACAUUAAUAAUUCUACUUCACUCUAUGGCUUUAACAGUUGUAGUAACCUAGAUUUAUAAUGACACAUGACAUUCAGCACUGCAUCAUGUAAGGCAACUAAUCCGAUAGUGCCAGGUCACUGAGCUGACCUACAAGUUUUUAACUCUUCUGCCAAAUCUGCUGCCCUAUUUGCUGGAUUAAAAUGAACAAGUGGCACUGUGUUUAUAAAAUUCUAACUAGUCUC
This is a long non-coding RNA of Dromaius novaehollandiae (emu), 2344 nucleotides long. RefSeq lists it as uncharacterized. The record is from RefSeq and is a predicted model, not a curated record. The transcript is spliced from 3 exons. Lineage: Eukaryota; Metazoa; Chordata; Aves; Casuariiformes; Dromaiidae.